Molecule: long non-coding RNA, 521 nt
Organism: Columba livia (rock pigeon)
Lineage: Eukaryota; Metazoa; Chordata; Aves; Columbiformes; Columbidae
Exons: 2
Source: RefSeq, a predicted model, not a curated record
CUGCGCACGCGCCCCGCGCCGCCGCCGGCAGCCCGCGCGCGCGGGGACGGAGGGGGAGGGGCUGGCGCGCGGGACGGGCGCUGUGAGGGGACAGCAGGGUACCCUGGAACUGCGGGGACAAACCGGCGGAGCUGCCGGGGACAAACCGGCGAGGCCUCCCGCGAAAAGGUGCCGGUGAAGGGGACAGUUUGUCCCUGCGGUCCCUCUUCCCGGCACCGCCAGGGCUGCGUGAGGCCGAGGGCAGGAGCGAGGACCCCGCGGCCCCGUGUGGCAGGAGCAGCUCCGGGGGCUCCAGCGGUGACACCCGAGGCGUUCGCCCUCAGCUCUGCGCGGGGAGACCGGAGGAGCUGCUUUGCUUCCGAGCAGCUCGUUCCAGCCGAGUGACAACUGAGCCAUCCAGCCCUUGAGCAACUGUCUGUGACAGUAUCGCAGACCCUGAGCAUGGGGCCUGGCAAUGCAAAAACAUUCAGCAAAACAGCUGCCUUGUUGAAUAGAAUGCUUAAUAAAUCCAUAAUACACAA